Molecule: ribosomal RNA, 292 nt
Filed under: uncultured bacterium
Lineage: Bacteria
Description: partial 16S ribosomal RNA
Rfam family: Bacterial small subunit ribosomal RNA
Source: RNAcentral
GUGCCAGCAGCCGCGGUAAUACAGAGGUCCCAAGCGUUGUUCGGAUUCACUGGGCGUAAAGGGUGCGUAGGUGGCGGGGUAAGUCGGAUGUGAAAUCUCCGAGCUCAACUCGGAAAUGGCAUUGGAAACUGCUCUGCUCGAGGGUUGGAGGGGGGACUGGAAUACUUGGUGUAGCAGUGAAAUGCGUAGAUAUCAAGUGGAACACCAGUGGCGAAGGCGAGUCCCUGGACAACUCCUGACACUGAGGCACGAAAGCUAGGGGAGCAAACAGGAUUAGAAACCCGGGUAGUCC